AAUCCCAAAGAACUUCCGGGCCCAUGCUGGGAUACAGACUGAAUAAUUGGACAACAGAGCUGUGGAUUCGGAGAUUGCCGAAUGCAUCGAUGCAUGUCAGUGGUAUAUCUAUGGUGUCUGUGGAGGUUUGAACCUGCGGUUUUGUGCAGCAGUGACGCUCGCAGCCAAGCUUAUAGGAAGAGGUGAUAAAGUGCUGCCGUAGAAUAUUGGGGAGGUAAUGAGACAAGCAGUCAAAGUUUUUUGGAGAUCAGAGGUCUGCUGGCCAACAUUGGACACCAGAUGUACACCUGCACCCACACUUAAAGGCAGAACAAUCAAGUAGAAGAAACUGAGGGAGUUCAGUCCUAUCAGAGCCACGGUACCAAAGUAGAUCCCAACACACACCUGUCCAGCAAAUCUGACAGGGCCCACAGGAGGAGGAACCGAGGCAUGAUCCCUUUUUCUCUCUUUGUCGGCAUCUUGAUUGGCCUCGCCCACGUAUGCAGGAAUACGUGAGACCUCUCUGACCCAGCCAAACCCAAAUCCUCCCAAGGUUAGCAUCCACAGCAGAGCAUGGCUGUCUCUUCCUAAAUACAAAUGGUGGAGGCCUAAAGGCCCUCCUACUGCCCACAACACAUAGGCUACUAUUACACUUUUUGCCAUCCUGUGGCCUCAGUGGAUUAGUCUUAGUGCAGGUUGGUAUUAAUCAUCCUUGAGAAGUACCUGCAAUGAAAAUACACAAAAAUUUAGCCUUACCUUGAAAUCAAAAUUAUGUGGAAUCUAGUAAAUAAUCAUUAUUUCUAGUCAGUGUUUCUAGUUCAUUAUAUAUGGACAGAAUCUUAGAAUAUAUUGUUUAUUUUCAGUGAUGUGUGAUGUAUUUUUUCAUUAAUGCUUUUACUUAAAGAAUGGAAAAACACGUGUUUACUCUUUUAUUUGUUUUACAGUCAUGCUUCUUUUGAUCACAUCUAAUUUUUUUAAUCCAAUGUUCUUACAUCGUUUCUAAAAUAUACAGCUUACUUCAUUAAAUUUCAUUUUAAGACUUUGAUAUACUCUAUGUUUCCUGUAUUAUCUGUCAGCUGCUGGUUGACCAGGACACUCAAAGGGAUUUUUAAUCUCCACGAUCCCCUUCCCCGGUUAAAUAAUAUAUUAUAUAAGAGGGAUUUAUCUUGGUCCAUGAUGUGCAUUGUCAUUUAAUUCGACUCAUUACGUGAUCCAAAAUGUGGUGCUUUCUAACCGGAAUCGUAGCACAUAUGGCCGUUACAAACAGUCAGACAUUACGCUAUUAGAUAGUCUACCAACCUUCUCUACAGACAGAGGACAUUUUCUAUUUUUAUUUUCUAUAUUUGUUUUUGUGCAAUAAAGAUUGAAUUACUUA
Molecule: long non-coding RNA, 1354 nt
Organism: Acanthochromis polyacanthus (spiny chromis)
Lineage: Eukaryota; Metazoa; Chordata; Actinopteri; Pomacentridae
Exons: 2
Source: RefSeq, a predicted model, not a curated record